RNAcentral lists this ribosomal RNA (163 nucleotides) under uncultured bacterium. RNAcentral's name for it is "partial 16S rRNA". It matches the Rfam family "Bacterial small subunit ribosomal RNA", at positions 358 to 511 of the family's 1533-position model. The record is from RNAcentral.
GGAAUCUUCGGCAAUGGGGGGCAACCCUGACCGAGCAACGCCGCGUGAGUGAAGAAGGUUUUCGGAUCGUAAAGCUCUGUUGUAAGAGAAGAACGUGUGUGAGAGUGGAAAGUUCACACAGUGACGGUAACUUACCAGAAAGGGACGGCUAACUACGCGCCAG